RNAcentral lists this ribosomal RNA (707 nucleotides) under uncultured marine alveolate. RNAcentral describes it as "SSU rRNA". It matches the Rfam family "Eukaryotic small subunit ribosomal RNA", at positions 618 to 1333 of the family's 1831-position model. The record is from RNAcentral.
GUUAAAACGCUCGUAGUUGGAUACCUGCCAAGGGUGGUCGGUCCUCCUCAGUGGAGAGUACCGGGGUUAGCCCUUGGCGCUAGUUCAGGAAACGUGUGCGCUUAAUUGUGUGCCGCGUGACUUGAACUUUUACUUUGAGGAAAUGAGAGUGUUUCAAGCAGGCGUUUGCCGUGAAUAUGAUAGCAUGGAAUAAUAGCAUCGGGCCCCUUUCCAAAGCUGUUGGUUUUUGGAACGAGGUAAUCGAAAUAAGGAUAGUUGGGGGUAUUCGUAUUUAACUGUCAGAGGUGAAAUUCUUGGAUUUUUUAAAGAUGAACUAUUGCGAAGGCAUCUACCCAGGAUGUUUUUGUUGAUCAAGAACGAAAGUUAGGGGAUCGAAGAUGAUUAGAUACCAUCCUAGUCUUAACCAUAAACUAUGCCGACUGGAGAUCGGAGUCGUCAGGUUACUGACUUCUUCGGCAUCUUGAGAGAAAUCGAAGUCUUUGGGUUCCGGGGGGAGUAUGGUCGCAAGGCUGAAACUUAAAGGAAUUGACGGAAGGGCACCACCAGGAGUGGAGCCUGCGGCUUAAUUUUGACUCAACACGGGAAAACUCACCAGGUCCAGACAUAGAUAGGAUUGACAGACUGAUAGCUCUUUCUUAAUUCUAUGGGUGGUGGUGCAUGGCCGUUUUUAGUUGGUGGAGUGAUUUGUCAUGUUAAUUCCGUUAACG